UUUGAUGGGUGUUCUGUUAAACCCGUCCCAUCCUGGGACAACACCGAACUGCCCCACAUCGUGUGGG
RNAcentral lists this small RNA (67 nucleotides) under Pontibacillus halophilus JSM 076056 = DSM 19796. RNAcentral's name for it is "Bacillaceae-1 RNA". It matches the Rfam family "Bacillaceae-1 RNA". The record is from Rfam by way of RNAcentral. Lineage: Bacteria; Bacillati; Bacillota; Bacilli; Caryophanales; Bacillaceae.